AUCUUGUUCUAUCAUGAAAGUUAACAAUGAGUUUAUGUGAUAUUCAGGGGUGCUGUUCAAACAAGUAGGUAGCUUGCAUGAAUUCUUCUUGCGGGAAUUGUGCAGAAUCCUGGACAAUUUGGUCUCCCGAUAACCACUUUGGUGUCCUGUUAUGGAACAAGUUAUACACCACUCUGAGAUGUAGAAAUGGUGAUCGUUUCUUACAUCUUCAAAUUCUGGAAAAUAUAUAAGCACAAUCCAACUCCCCGUUGGCUGAGAGAAAAUCUAUAUGUUACACUGAUCACCCAGAUAAUUGAAUGGUGCAUGGCUAAGUUGUUGUGGAGAAUGGGGGCUAAUUUGUUGAUUGCAAGGUGGCAAAUGGGGGCCAAGUUGUUGAUUGCAAGGUGGAGA
Triticum dicoccoides is the source of this 390-nucleotide long non-coding RNA. RefSeq lists it as uncharacterized. The record is from RefSeq and is a predicted model, not a curated record. The transcript is spliced from 3 exons. Lineage: Eukaryota; Viridiplantae; Streptophyta; Magnoliopsida; Poales; Poaceae.